AUGGAGUGAUGAGCACAUGUGUGAGGCAGCUGUGGAUAUAUGGAGGGAGGUCCCAUGGUGGGAACUGAGACAGCCGUGAGAUCCAUGGAGGGAGGCCUUGUGGUGGAAACUGAGGCAGCUGUGGAUCCAUGGAGGGAGGCCCCACGGUGGGAGCUCAGACAGCUGUGGAUAUAUGGAGGGAGGCCCUGCGGUGGGAACUGAGACAGCUGUGAGACCCAUGGAGGGAGGUCCCAUGGUGGAAACUGAGGCAGCUGUGGAUCCAUAGAGGGAGGCCGUGCGGUGGGAACUGAGCUGUGAGAUCCAUGGAGGGAGGUCCCAUGGUGGGAACUCAGACAGCUGUGGGUCCAUGGAGGGAGGCCCCGCAGUAGGAACUGAGACAGCUGUGAGAUCUGUGGACGGAGACCCUGCAGUGGGAACUGAGAUAGCUGUGGAUCCGUGGAGGGAGGUCCCGAGGUGGGAACUGAGACAGCUGUGGGUCCAUGGAGGGAGGCCCCAUGGUGGGAACUGAGACAGCUGUGGGGUCCAUGGAGGGAGGCCCUGCAGUGGGAACUGAGAUAGCUGUGGAUCCGUGGAGGGAGGCCCCGUGGUGGGAACUGAGGCAGCUGUGGAGUCCAUGGAGGGAGGUCCCACGGUGGGAACUGGGCUGUGGGGUCCAUGCAGGGAGGCCCCGCAGUGGCAACUGAGACAAGUUUAAGGAGUUGACUAGCAGCUGAACCCAGUGGCAGCUGCGGAGGAACUUGGGGCUCGGGAUGAUGACUUUGGCAGCCACCUGGUGCGGGCACUACUGGAGUAAAGCAGCAUCUGAGGAGAUGUGGAGAAGUUCAGUUUGAUGGUUUUGGUUUUGGUUUUGGUUUUUGGAGACUGAGUCUC
Long non-coding RNA from Cercocebus atys (sooty mangabey), 870 nucleotides. RefSeq lists it as uncharacterized. The transcript is spliced from 2 exons. The record is from RefSeq and is a predicted model, not a curated record. NCBI's taxonomy places the organism in Eukaryota, Metazoa, Chordata, Mammalia, Primates, Cercopithecidae.